GACGAACGCUGGCGGCGGGCUUAACACAUGCAAGUCGAACGGAAAGUCCCCUUUGGGGGUACUCGAGUGGCGAACGGGUGAGUAACACGUGUGUAACCUGCCCUUGUCUUCGGGAUAACUUCAGGAAAGUGGGGCUAAUACCCGAUAGGAAUCCUUGCUGCAUGGUGUGGUUUGGAAAACUUCGGCGGUUUUGGAUGGACUCGCGCCUUAUCAGCUUGUUGGUGAGGUAGUGGCUUACCAAGGCUUUGACGGGUAGCCGGCCUGAGAGGGGGACCGGCCACAUUGGGAAUGCGACACGGCCCAGAAUCAUACGGGAGGCAGCAGUGGGGAAUAUUGCACAAUGGGAGGAAGCCUGAUGCAGCAACGCCGCGCGCGGGAUGAGGGCCUUCGGGUUGUAAACCGCUUACAGCAGGCGCGAAGCUUGUGGUGACGGUACCUUCAGAAGAAGCACCGGCUAACUCCGUG
Molecule: ribosomal RNA, 465 nt
Filed under: uncultured bacterium
Lineage: Bacteria
Description: partial 16S ribosomal RNA
Rfam family: Bacterial small subunit ribosomal RNA
Source: RNAcentral